This 209-nucleotide ribosomal RNA is filed under the name Helotiaceae sp. RNAcentral describes it as "partial large subunit ribosomal RNA". Lineage: Eukaryota; Fungi; Ascomycota; Leotiomycetes; Helotiales; Helotiaceae. The record is from RNAcentral.
AAGCGUUUGCAACCAGACUUGCGCGCGGCUGAUCAUCCGGUGUUCUCACCGGUGCACUCGGUCGCGCUCAGGCCAGCAUCAGUUCUGGUGGUCGGAUAAAGGCCGUGGGAAUGUGGCUCUUCGGAGUGUUAUAGCCCACGGUGCCAUGCGGCCUACCGGGACUGAGGACCGCGCUUCGGCUAGGAUGCUGGCGUAAUGGUUGUCAACGA